UACGUAGGGUGCGAGCGUUAAUCGGAAUUACUGGGCGUAAAGCGUGCGCAGGCGGUUUUGUAAGCCAGAUGUGAAAUCCCCGGGCUUAACCUGGGAAUGGCAUUUGGGACUGCAAGGCUGGAGUGCGGCAGAGGAGACUGGAAUUCCUGGUGUAGCAGUGAAAUGCGUAGAUAUCAGGAGGAAUACCGAUGGCGAAGGCAGGUCUCUGGGCUGACACUGACGCUCAUGCACGAAAGCGUGGGGAGCAAACAGGAU
This 255-nucleotide ribosomal RNA is filed under the name uncultured bacterium. RNAcentral describes it as "partial 16S ribosomal RNA". It matches the Rfam family "Bacterial small subunit ribosomal RNA", at positions 524 to 778 of the family's 1533-position model. The record is from RNAcentral.